This 570-nucleotide ribosomal RNA is filed under the name Ogataea nonfermentans. Its description in RNAcentral is "partial 26S ribosomal RNA". It matches the Rfam family "Eukaryotic large subunit ribosomal RNA", at positions 62 to 652 of the family's 3401-position model. The record is from RNAcentral. Lineage: Eukaryota; Fungi; Ascomycota; Pichiomycetes; Pichiales; Pichiaceae.
AAACCAACAGGGAUUGCCUUAGUAGCGGCGAGUGAAGCGGCAAAAGCUCAAAUUUGAAAUCUGGUACCUUCGGUGCCCGAGUUGUAAUUUGAAGAAAGCAAUCUUGGAUUUGGCCUUUGUCUAUGUUCCUUGGAACAGGACGUCAUAGAGGGUGAGAAUCCCGUCUGAUGAGGUGUCCAUUUCUAUGUAAGAUGUUUUCGAAGAGUCGAGUUGUUUGGGAAUGCAGCUCUAAGUGGGUGGUAAAUUCCAUCUAAAGCUAAAUAUUGGCGAGAGACCGAUAGCGAACAAGUACUGUGAAGGAAAGAUGAAAAGAACUUUGAAAAGAGAGUGAAAAAGUACGUGAAAUUGUUGAAAGGGAAGGGUAUUAGAUCAGACUUGGUAUUUAGUUAUCAUUGCUCCUUGUGGGUGGUGCUCUAGCUUUUUACUGGGCCAGCAUCAGUUUUGGUGGUAAGAUAAUGACAGUUGAACGUGGCUCCUCGGAGUGUUAUAGCUUCUGUUGAUAUUACCUACCGGGACUGAGGUCUGCGGCUUUUGCCUAGGAUGCUGGCGUAAUGAUCCAAUACCGCCCGU